RNAcentral lists this long non-coding RNA (367 nucleotides) under Vigna radiata. Its description in RNAcentral is "long non-coding RNA (VRAD_LNC014558)". The record is from RNAcentral. Lineage: Eukaryota; Viridiplantae; Streptophyta; Magnoliopsida; Fabales; Fabaceae.
AAAAACCAUGAUUACCUGAACCUUAAGAAUUUUUGGAGCUUUGGAAUUGUUUUGGGAAUAAGUGUGGUCUCUUAGGAGUUGCAGAUGAAUUGGCUAGUGAGUCCUCUUCUUGCGGUUCUAUUGUAAAUAUCAUGUAUCUUGUCUUUUGAAUUGUAUGUUGAAUAGAAAAAGAAAAGAGAAAAAAGAAAAAAAAAGAAAAGAAAAAAAAUACAAAAAAAAAAUAAAUUUGUGAAUAAUGAAGUCAAGAAGAGGAUGGAAUUAGAGGUUGUGGGUGUGUUUGAAGGUGUUUACACUUGUUCCCCAUUGCUCCUCUGUUCCUUUUGGUUUGUAGCUUCUUAUCCAGAUGUAUCCUCCCUUGUCCUUGGCC